UACGAAGGGGGCUAGCGUUGCUCGGAAUCACUGGGCGUAAAGCGCACGUAGGCGGGUUGUUAAGUCGGGGGUGAAAUCCUGGAGCUCAACUCCAGAACUGCCUUUGAUACUGAAGAUCUUGAGUUCGGGAGAGGUGAGUGGAACUGCGAGUGUAGAGGUGAAAUUCGUAGAUAUUCGCAAGAACACCAGUGGCGAAGGCGGCUCACUGGCCCGAUACUGACGCUGAGGCACGAAAGCGUGGGGAGCAAACAGG
Molecule: ribosomal RNA, 253 nt
Filed under: uncultured bacterium
Lineage: Bacteria
Description: partial 16S ribosomal RNA
Rfam family: Bacterial small subunit ribosomal RNA
Source: RNAcentral